UCUUCCGGCUCCCGGGACUCUCAGCAAAGGAAGUCACUUUGCGGCCUCCUUUUCCAUCAAGCAAAACCACGGGCAAGAGGCCGAGAUAUUCCUUUAAGUUAAUGUCAUGAAGAAUUCAUGAGCACAGCACGGUGGACACCGUCAUAGGAUGAACUCCCAGGAUGAGCGGCUGUGAUUGGAAGCGUGGCUGCACACAUGUUCAAAGCACAGUCGUCGGUCUUCCUGUCUGCACCGCACGCUUUAUUGACCUUCCACAGCCAGGCAGCCGUCGCUAAUUGUUUACCACCCCCUCCUGUUUCUGCACUGCUUCCGUUCACUGGAGAGACUCACCUGCUUUCGUAAUGAUUCGUCACGUUUUUUGACGGCUAGAACUUUGUCUGAAUCUUGGUGUGAAACUGGGAUGAUCAGGAUGAUUGUGUUCCAGGGGUUCAUGAGCCAGCUUUAAGUUAAUUCAUUAUUCGUCAUGGUGACAAUAUUCUCUGUAAAUAAUAAGUAAAAGAAUAUUGCAAUUUGAAAAAUGUACAAAAAUAGGAUAACAGAAGGAUCGACGUCUACUGCGAUAUCGUCUUGUGUUGCUCUUCAAUUUGUUCAAAACCUCAAAUGCCACCGUGUUCAAAUCAAUCAAUCAAUCAAGGUCAUCACUGACAUUACUAUUUUUGCAGUAUUCAGGUGCUUCUCUCAGUCUACAUUGUUAAAAUUCCAUCUUUUGCUAACAAUCUGAUUGACCAGAUUACACAAAUAAUUUUGUUUUCUUUGUAAUUC
Pungitius pungitius (ninespine stickleback) is the source of this 762-nucleotide long non-coding RNA. RefSeq lists it as uncharacterized. NCBI's taxonomy places the organism in Eukaryota, Metazoa, Chordata, Actinopteri, Perciformes, Gasterosteidae. The transcript is spliced from 3 exons. The record is from RefSeq and is a predicted model, not a curated record.